Molecule: ribosomal RNA, 348 nt
Filed under: uncultured Solirubrobacterales bacterium
Lineage: Bacteria; Bacillati; Actinomycetota; Thermoleophilia; Solirubrobacterales
Description: bacterial SSU rRNA
Rfam family: Bacterial small subunit ribosomal RNA
Source: RNAcentral
UGGCUCAGAACGAACGCUGGCGGCGUGCCUAACACAUGCAAGUGGAGCGACGAACCAGGCUUCGGCCUGGGGCAAAGCCGCGAACGGGUGAGUAACACGUGGGUAACCUGCCCCGAUGAUUGGGACAACCCGAGGAAACUCGGGCUAAUACCGAAUGUGCCCUCCGACCAUAAGGUCGCUGGGGAAAGGAAGCUUCGGCCUUCGCAUCGGGAUGGGCCCGCGGCCCAUUAGCUUGUUGGUGAGGUAACGGCUCACCAGGGAGACGAUGGGUAGCUGGUCUGAGAGGACGAUCAGCCACAUUGUCCCUGAGACACGGGACGGACUCCUACUGGAUCAGCAGAGGGGAAU